RNAcentral lists this ribosomal RNA (250 nucleotides) under uncultured bacterium. RNAcentral's name for it is "partial 16S ribosomal RNA". It matches the Rfam family "Bacterial small subunit ribosomal RNA", at positions 57 to 305 of the family's 1533-position model. The record is from RNAcentral.
GCAAGUCGAGCGGUAACAUUUCUAGCUUGCUAGAAGAUGACGAGCGGCGGACGGGUGAGUAAUGCUUGGGAACAUGCCUUGAGGUGGGGGACAACAGUUGGAAACGACUGCUAAUACCGCAUAAUGUCUACGGACCAAAGGGGGGGAUCUUCGGACCUCUCGCCAUUUGAUUAGCCCAAGUGAGAUUAGCUAGUAGGUGAGGUAAGAGCUCACCUAGGCGACGAUCCCUAGCUGGUUUGAGAGGAUGAUC